GAGUUUGAUCCUGGCUCAGAUUGAACGCUGGCGGCAGGCCUAACACAUGCAAGUCGAGCGGUAGAGAGAAGCUUGCUUCUCUUGAGAGCGGCGGACGGGUGUGUAAUGCCUAGGAAUCUGCCUGGUAGUGGGGGAUAACGCUCGGAAACGGACGCUAAUACCGCAUACGUCCUACGGGAGAAAGCAGGGGACCUUCGGGCCUUGCGCUAUCAGAUGAGCCUAGGUCGGAUUAGCUAGUUGGUGAGGUAAUGGCUCACCAAGGCGACGAUCCGUAACUGGUCUGAGAGGAUGAUCAGUCACACUGGAACUGAGACACGGUCCAGACUCCUACGGGAGGCAGCAGUGGGGAAUAUUGGACAAUGGGCGAAAGCCUGAUCCAGCCAUGCCGCGUGUGUGAAGAAGGUCUUCGGAUUGUAAAGCACUUUAAGUUGGGAGGAAGGGCAGUAAAUUAAUACUUUGCUGUUUUGACGUUUACCGACAGAAUAAGCACCGGCUAACUCUGUGCCAGCCGCC
This 513-nucleotide ribosomal RNA is filed under the name uncultured bacterium. RNAcentral's name for it is "bacterial SSU rRNA". It matches the Rfam family "Bacterial small subunit ribosomal RNA", at positions 9 to 516 of the family's 1533-position model. The record is from RNAcentral.